AGAUCUCAACAACGUCUGAUUCUCAGCUGACAUGUCAUGACAACACUCAACAGAUACAGACCCUGCCUUAGGAGGCCCAUCUAAAGAUCAUUGCAAGAAGGACAAAUAUCACAGCAGGAGGGAAGAGCACGAACAACCUG
Danio aesculapii is the source of this 140-nucleotide long non-coding RNA. RefSeq lists it as uncharacterized. The transcript has 3 exons. The record is from RefSeq and is a predicted model, not a curated record. NCBI's taxonomy places the organism in Eukaryota, Metazoa, Chordata, Actinopteri, Cypriniformes, Danionidae.